GGCAGACGGGUGAGUAACGCGUGGGAACCUACCCUGGGGUACGGAAUAACUCAUGGAAACGUGAGCUAAUACCGUAUACGUCCUUUGGGAGAAAGAUUUAUCGCCCUUGGAUGGGCCCGCGUUGGAUUAGCUAGUUGGUGAGGUAACGGCUCACCAAGGCGACGAUCCAUAGCUGUUCUGAGAGGAAGAUCAGCCACACUGGGACUGAGACACGGCCCAGACUCCUACGGGAGGCAGCAGUGGGGAAUCUUGGACAAUGGGCGCAAGCCUGAUCCAGCCAUGCCGCGUGAGUGAUGAAGGCCCUAGGGUUGUAAAGCUCUUUCACCGGUGACGAUAAUGACGGUAGCCGGAGAAGAGGCCCCGGCUAACUUCGUGCCAGCAGCCGCGGUAAUACGAAGGGGGCUAGCGUUGUUCGGAAUUACUGGGCGUAAAGCGCACGUAGGCGGAUGAUUAAGUUAGAGGUGAAAGCCCAGGGCUCAACCCUGGAAUUGCCUUUAAUACUGGUCAUCUUGAG
Molecule: ribosomal RNA, 514 nt
Filed under: uncultured Phyllobacteriaceae bacterium
Lineage: Bacteria; Pseudomonadati; Pseudomonadota; Alphaproteobacteria; Hyphomicrobiales; Phyllobacteriaceae
Description: bacterial SSU rRNA
Rfam family: Bacterial small subunit ribosomal RNA
Source: RNAcentral